Molecule: long non-coding RNA, 1435 nt
Filed under: Olea europaea subsp. europaea
Lineage: Eukaryota; Viridiplantae; Streptophyta; Magnoliopsida; Lamiales; Oleaceae
Source: RNAcentral
CUAAAACUCUAAUAAUUGCUUUUGAAUAUUGUGUCCAGGUUACUCGUAUACCAACUUAGCCUAUUUAUAAAUAGGCAAAUCAAGUCGCGUGCAAUUCAUGACAUACAAUCAUACAUUAAAUUGCCAAUAAUAUGAUAGUAUUCUAACGGAGACUUAUACUGACCAAUGUUUGAAACAAGUAGCUAACUAGCAUCAAUUGACAUUUUAAUAGGAAUAAUAUCAUAUUUUUUGAACUUAUCACAAAUUUUCUUAAUAUAGUGUGAUUGAGAUAAUAUGAAAUUAUCAUAUAUUCUAUGUUUUAAUUCCUAAUAUAGGCAUUGUUUGAGCCAUAUUAUUUGAAAAAAAAUAUAUUUUUCAAAAGUGAGUGAUCUCAUUUCAAUCACAUAUUUUUUAAUAAAAUAAUAUUAUAUGUAAAUUCAAAACAUUUCCUUAUUUUUUAAUAACACAUUUUUUAUCAAUAUACUAUUUAAAAAUGCAUUUUCAUUCCAAUAAUAUGGCUCAAAUAGGUCAUAAUAUUAGCGACGCACAAAUCCUUCAUUUCAAAUUUACUCGUUCACAUCCUCUUUGUAGUUUGAAUUAUGGUAUUAUUAUGAUCCAUAAUUAGCAUGUUGAGCUUUGAUAUCAAAUUGUUAAAUUUAAAAGUCAAAGAAAAACAAUAUUUUAUUUAUGAAAUAGCUCACACUUAUUUUAUUUAUAGGAACUCUCACACUUAAUUACUAGACCCACUAGAGCAUGUAUCUCACUGCCCUCUAUUUCUCAGUUUCUCUCUCUGCUCACCACUUUCUUCAAAAUCACAUAUAUUUUGUCUUUCUCGCUUCUCUCAUCACACAUGCAUAUACUCAACACACACACAGAGUAGCUUCUUCUUCUACACAAAAGUCGGGGGCUUCCUUCUAAUUUUUCCAAUAUGAUGGUGAAGGAUUUAUCUAGAAUGGUGGUGGUCGUCAAUUCCAGGUUUUUUUUAAAGAUUAUUCUUUAGUUUCCUUAAAGAAGAAGGUCCAAAAAAUGAGAUGAAUAACCCACACAAAUCAAGAAUUUUCUCAAAGUCGGUGAUGAUCUUCAUAGCAUGUCAACUACGCAUAAAUAUAUCAUAAUAUUUCCAUUUUGAUUGCUAUUGACAUGCACACAUUUGUUAUAAUCAUUUAUAUUCAAACCGUUUGACAUUAUUGCUGCGUCAAAAUUUUCAUGCAAUUUUUUAGGAGCAUGCUUUAUCCUACUAAGUGAUUUAACGAGUAGACACAUUUUCUUUUCUUAUCACGAGACAACAAAUCCUUUAUAUUAGUCUAUAUAAAUUUAUUUGUCUAAUUUAUCAUUCAAGAAUAUCGUUUAAACAUCCAUUUAAAUUUAAUUGUGAAUGACUUAUUUUCAAUAUGAAGCUUCGCUUGCCUACAUAACCUCUUUAAAACUUUGAGGUUCAUUUUAUAAUAAAUACUAG